GAUGAAGAACGCAGCGAAAUGCGAUAAGUAAUGUGAAUUGCAGAAUUCAGUGAAUCAUCGAAUCUUUGAACGCACAUUGCGCCCGCCAGUAUUCUGGCGAGCAUGCCUGUUCGAGCGUCAUUUCAACCAUCAAGCCCCAGGCUUGUGUUGGAGCCCUGCGGCUGCCGCAGCCUCCCAAAACCAGUGGCGGGCUCGCUAUCACACCGAGUGCAGUAGUUUACUCUUCGCUCAGGACGUGUGGCGGGUGCUAGCCGUGAAACCCCCAACUUCUCAAGGUUGACCUCGGAUCAGGUAGGAAUACCCGCUGAACUUAAGCAUAUCAAUAAGCGGAGGA
Molecule: unclassified non-coding RNA, 334 nt
Filed under: soil metagenome
Description: partial contains 5.8S ribosomal RNA, internal transcribed spacer 2, and large subunit ribosomal RNA
Rfam family: 5.8S ribosomal RNA (bases 1-120)
Source: RNAcentral